Long non-coding RNA from Poecilia latipinna (sailfin molly), 2445 nucleotides. RefSeq lists it as uncharacterized. The transcript has 2 exons. The record is from RefSeq and is a predicted model, not a curated record. NCBI's taxonomy places the organism in Eukaryota, Metazoa, Chordata, Actinopteri, Cyprinodontiformes, Poeciliidae.
AACAUGAGACAGGAAAUAUUUAGCAAUAGCACUUUAUUGAACACAAACAACCCUAAGCCACAAUACUGAAUGACAAGACCAAUUGGCUGCAGCAAACAUUUUAUAAAAUAGAUUCAGGUUUAAUGUCACUAAACUGUUUUUUUUUCUUUUAACGUCAGAAAGACAGAUGCAGGUUUUUCCAAAACAGUGAAUGAUCUUUUACAUAUUUAACAUUUCUGUAACAAAUUAUCAUUCACAUGUUCACACAAAGGAAUAACAAGGCAAAGUGCUUUCAGGAUUGCAUUGUUGAAGAAACAAAAACAGAAACAUGAAUGGCUUGAGGUUUCAGGUGAGACGGCGGGUUUGUGGAGUGGGGCUGGUCCUGUUUUCGUGUUGGCGUGUGAAGGUGGCAGCGGUAGGGAGAGGGGAGGGCCGUAACAUUUGGUGGGGAGAAAACCUCAAACCUUUCACCUUGUCCUGUACCCCUUGUAAGUCAAACCCGGUGUAAAAAGUGAGGGCAGUGUGGAGAAACGGACGCCUACGCAGCCAGAAUCUGGACAGAUGGAUUCAAAGGCAAACAGCUUGAGGGACGCAGACCGACUUUCCUCCCCUCCAACCCUCAGAAACAGAAUCCAUCUACCCAUCUUCAUCGUGACAACCUGUGAUAUCAGUACAGCUGCAUGAGCCUAAACGAAGCUGUAAUCGUUGAAUUAUCUCAUAUUAUAGGGCUGGACAGAAAAGCAUACACAGAAAAAUGAAAUAACUAAAAGGAAAAGGUAAUUAUUUACUUUAUUAAAGAUGGUUCCUCUGACCAUUCACCACUGAAUGUUAAAGGGGAGAGACUAUCAUAAUCUGCAUCACAACUUUGUCUGGCUUCACAUUCCAGUGGUAUUUUGUCGUAUAAAUGCUUCUCAUAAAUAUUUUUUUUUAAACGUCAAGUAGACAUGUACAGCACAUCCAAGCACACUUUAUGUAUAAGUAUACAAUUGCUCAUGAUAAAUCUGUAUUCCCGUACAGUGGACUGACCCAUUAAAAGCCAGAACAGGUGGAGAGACAAACAAUACUCAAUGCUGCAAAACAAGGAGGUAGGAGUAAUGCUACGAAGAAACAAAAACAAAACAGCGAGCAAUGCUAGAAUGUCGAAAUAUCUGUGAUACGCCAGGAUUACUGAACCAUGAUAGUUAGCGCCAGCAGCUGCCACCCCAGUCAAUGUUUGAGCUGGUAGAUUUUUAAUUUGAUUUUCUAAGUUUAAUUUUUAAUCUGACGACACAGGUGCAUCUCAAUUUAAAAAGAGAAACUCACUCUGAAAUCAGAUAGGCUAAACAGAGACAAAACUUCAAGAAUCUAUUCUGUUAUUUUUGACGAGGAUGGCUAAUGGAAAGUUGAGUGGAAGCAAAAAAAGUCAAGUCAGCUAGUAAAGAUUAAGUUAAGAGCCAUAAAACAUCAUUACUAACCAACAUGACUGCUUGUAUUGCACAAAAUCAGAUUCAUAGAAAGUUGAGUGGAAGAAAAACCGUUUGGAAAAGAAUAGUAAAGCAAAGUCAGUUUAAAUGUUUGAGUAGAUUCUUUAAUUGUGGACAGACCAUGUCAAAGGAGCUCCGAUCAUAUCGCUUCUGAAAAAAGACUUUUGGGAUUUUCAGUAGCAGUGAGUGACAAUCCCCAAAAAGGAAUUAAAGCCUUAAAUAAACAGAAAUAAUUUAACUUUGUGUCGGUUUUCUGGUGAAUCGAGAUGCAUCUGUUCGUGUUGACUGGACUAGCAGCUGCUGUGGCUCUUAACUGAAGUAAAUCGUCGACGGAUGUUUUUUUUGGCCCGCCAAAAUAAAAGUUCAAUCAUGUUUCCAACCGCUUGUUUCUAUUCCGGUUGUUGAUCUGAAAGUGGCUGAUGUGAGCAGAGUAAAUUCAUUGGUCCUGUUGUCAUCACAGGUCUGGAGACCGCGCUGCUGGUGAUGGCAUCAACUCCUUCACACACAGUAGAAUAGUAUAUUUGCAGACUUGUAAAUGAGGUAAUCAGCGUUAUGCUAAAUAGGGAACCCUGUCAUUGACACACUUUAUCCACCAGCAAAGCAAAAUGACAAAAAAAAAAAAAAAAGACAGGACCAUGGAAGAAAAAAAAAUCAAAUUUGGAAUGUCAGGUGGACAAGCCAACUUUUUUCCUCCUCCUAUGCUUGUGAAGGUGCAUCGUGGUAAUAAUUUGAUUGUAAUUCAUCACAUGCCCUGAUUCAGAGUCCUUCCACGUACAAGGGCUCCGUUUUUAUUUCCCAGAUAAGCCACUCGCAUUAAAACAAGGCGGCUUACUUUUCAAUUGUUAUUAUUUUUCUUUAAAUCUGUAAUAAAUUAAGGCUGCCUCAGCAGCAGAUCAACACCUGCCUAAAGUCCAGUUGAUGGAGUAUUGUUAAAAGCUCAUGAGUUGCAGUAAGGUGGUAAAAUCUUCAGUGAAGCAGACUAAACCAAAGAGAAAAAAAAAAA